Cervus elaphus (red deer) is the source of this 4849-nucleotide RNA transcript. RefSeq lists it as uncharacterized. NCBI's taxonomy places the organism in Eukaryota, Metazoa, Chordata, Mammalia, Artiodactyla, Cervidae. The transcript is spliced from 3 exons. The record is from RefSeq and is a predicted model, not a curated record.
GAAUCUUGGAGAAUGCUUUCUAGAAUGUAAUGAACUACAGAGAGUGCUUCCAAAUCUCAUUUGCCUUCUGUCAUUGCAAACCCCCCUUGCUUGGGGUUUAUGGGUUAUUUUAUGUGUCACUUUAUUAGGUAAUUCCAAUGCUCUUGACAUUGUCUUCUUCUGGACAUUAUGGGUGUUACAAAGCCUUUGAAUUGCCCUGGGCAGACCAUAUUUAAAACUGGGCCUGUUUUUCCUGUAGCUUAUAAAAUAUAAAUAGCACAAGAGUCAAGCAGAGCUACAGGAGGAUGUGACUCAGGCUGGGCCCCCAAGGGAAGGCUGACUAAAUGUCAGAGGGAGUGUGCAAACCGCCGAUCAAGACCCUGGAAGGCCAGGGCUCUGCAGCAUGCCCUUGGCUAGCAGUGUGGGGCUUGGGGAGUGCAGAAGGCCUGGCCUCACCCUCUACACUGGCUGGCUUCUAAAGUCCAGUCCCCCCUGGGUUUGCCUCAAGUGCUGUAAAUUCUGGGAGCAAACACUUUUGCCCUUUGAUAUAGUCUUGGCUUAAUUUCCAGAUUGAAUUGGGUUAUCAAAGAGGUCUCCUGGGAAAUAGUAUCUGUAUUAGGAAAUAUGAGGAAAUAUUCAUUUAAAGACUGAAUCUAGGACCCAAAGUCUUCAUCUCUGAGGAGCUCUCUAAAGAAAAGAGGCAGCAGGAACUCAGAAAAAUAUGCACAGAUAUAUACAUAAAAAUAUGACUUACCAUGAACUCUCAGGGUUCUGUAUCAUUGCUAAGUGAAUUACUGAUGGUGUCACUGGGAGUAGGACCUGGAGAGAUGAGUCUUGGAAGAAAAGAGGACAGUAAAUAAUUUGAAGGAGUCUUCAAAGGAGGGAAGGAGAUCAUGAUUGUUAGAAGACUCCCAAGUGUGUGUUCUUUGCAUGCAGAAAUCAUACCUUUCGCUUCAGUAUUCCUAGGACUUUGCAUAGCAUCUGGCACACAGCCUUCAACUAGCUUCCGAGAGAGAGCCGUGGGUCAGCAGUAGGAGGAUCAGGACUGGCUCCAGUCAAACAGGGAGCCCUGGAGCCUGCCUCCCAUGGUCGGGGAGACGGCCAAGCCGGCAGAGCCUGUGUGUGCAUGAUGUAAGGAACAUCAGGCAGAGGAUCGACAAGGCUGCAACCUGAUUUGACCCUGUGUCACUGCAUCAUCACGUCACUGCACCUCUGGGUGGGGCGUGUUGAUGCCGCAGCGCCUCCUGAAGCUCCACCACCUCAGUGCAGAAGGUGCAGGGGCACAGACCGCCUCUUCACUUCUUCCCAGCAGGAGGGAUGGCACCGAGAAGCGGGGGCAGCCGAGGCUGGCCUGUCUGCCCCCUCGAUGGCCUCCAGGAGCCUCUUUUGUGUGGUCCGAGCCCUGGCUGAUUGGCAGCAAGUUGAGGGUGGUAGAUUUCCUGUGUCUCCCACUCUCUGUCCACAGUGGUCACCCAUCAAGGAAGGGAACCAAAAAAAGAACAAAAAAGCUGCGUGGCACCAUCUUUUCUGGCUCUGCCUUCCAUGGCGCUUUCUUUCCCUCUCUCCUGUUCUUCUACCUCUCCCUUCAGCCCCUGUGAGGAUGAGGUGAGGCGGGGAAUCUGUGGGUGGUAGAGGAGGCACUGAAUGGGGCGUGUAACCGAUGUCCCCUGUGUCUGCUCUAGACUCACGGAGAGCUGACCCACGAGCUCAAGAGAUUGCCCUGGACUCUGUUCAGGGAAGACGCACUUGAGGUUGGGACUUUCCAAAUGUCCCUCGGUCUCUUUAUACCUGGCCUUUCUCUCUGCCCUUCAGCUGCCCUCAGCCUUCCCUUCCGUCCUCUGCAGACAGGAUGUUACCCAUGGAGUCCACCCUUCUCUUGCCGGGACCCUAGCUUCUUUGCCUCAGCGUGCUCAGGCUCUCCAGCCGGCACUUGCUCACACCAGUUUUUUCCACGCUUGUAACUGGACUGCUGACAGCUGGAGAAAGCCACACAGCCCUGUAGAUAGACGGGCACCCCUCCAGACGAGUCACCUGCACCACAGCCGGGCACUUAGAGCCUGCAGAGGCCUGCUGUUUGCUGCUAUUUCCCACUCUCUACAGAAGGACUUCCAAAACUUCUCCCUGUCCUGCAACAGUUGCUACUUACUGUACCACCCAACCUGCCCAAGGCACACAUGCUUGUUUGUCAAGUGGCAACUGAUCCCCCUCCAAGAUUUCUGAAAGAAUUAAGCACAAUUAUCGAAUAGGAAAUCCAUUAUUUUGAAGAGUUGACUCAAAAUGGGGUGAGGGAGGGAAUGUGACAAAGAGGAGAAUGUAGAGAAGGGGCCUUCCUCUGGAAGGAAGGGAGACAAGUGUCGAUUCCCCAACUUCUCAGGCUUCCUUUUAAAGCCUUCUUCCAUCAGUUCUCGCCCAUCAUGGUCAAGGGCUCCAGAGGAGAUGGUGCAGAUGGCCCCCUUCCCCACGGCCGGGCAGUGACAAGAUUCUGGAGAGCAAACCCACAGGGUGUGUCUCUGUUAUUCUGUAGGUGCUCCUUUAGAUUCAAGAUGACUGUGGUCAGGCAGUUUGCCACUGAGAUUUGAUUAAUAAUUUUUUUUCUGGGCUGUGUUCCCUGGGACAUAUUGAGGUUCAUGUUCAGUGGCUAACUUUUUUCAGGCUUUUCAUUUCUAUCCACUUCUCUCAGCUUUGGACAUAGCACAUAGCCACAGAAAUGUGCACAGAGAAUUCAGCACACAAGAAAUUUGCAUUUGACUCCUUGAACAGAAAGUCUCUGUAUGUCCAGGGAGUUGGGGAGCAGAGGCCUCUUUCCACUCCUCAGGGGAUGACCAGUCGCAUGAGUUGGGCUCUGUCCUGUGUUGGUGGAAGGCCACCUUAACUUGACAGAAAGGGGCAGCAGAGCAGGCUAGCAGGUAUCCACUGCGAGGCUGAGGACCACGUGCAUUCAUUGAGAGCAGGGUGGGGCCCUGCCAAUCUGUUCGGACAUGCUGCCAGCUGGCAGCAGGACUGAGUCCUCCCCCAGGAGAGCUGGAGAGCACGGAAGGCCGGCCUGGGCCCUGGCCUGGUGAGUGAGCAGAAGCUUUCAAUGUAUGGAGUAUCUAGUGAACACUGGCCAGGACAGCCCGGCUCCUCACAAUUCCCUUCCCAGUUUUCUGCCGGGGACUUAAGUUUUUUCUAAGGGAAAACUUCGCAUUUGUUUUUGGUAUCUUUAGUGUGUAUGUGUGUGUUUGCUCUUGGUGCUAAGCCUCUGUGAUUAUCUAUAGGAACUGGCAGAAGCACUCUCUCCUUUUCUCACUUUGAGUGUUUGACCUUGUGACCUUGUGUUCUUGUGAAACCUCUGCUGUGUAAUCUCAUCAGUUUCCUUCCUGUACGAUCCCCCUGAUUUCCCCUGGAAUAUCCCAUGGGCAUUUUUAUGUCAGCAGACUGGAAUGUUUCUCUCGUCCCUGGGAAAAGCUCCUCUGGUCUUAGUGAAUUCAGAAGUGGAGGAAUUCAUAAGAUUUAGGGAGUCUGCCUCAAAUUGCCUCCUAGUAUAACUUCCCACAAGGACUGGAGAAAGGUUAGAACAUUCCCCUGCCGUGUCUGGAGAUGGAAAGGGGCAGGAUCCCUUUUCCUGCCAAAGUCACAAAGAGCCAGCUGGGACCACAAGCACACUUGCUGCAGUCAAGGGCCCAAGCAGAAGCAGCGAUACUAAGGCCUACACAGUGGCACCUCCUACUUGCCUGUGUUGGGUCACUCUUCCUCAUAAGACCGUGGCAAAGCAAGAGCUGACAGAUAAGGAAACCGAGCCUGGGAAAAGUCAGCCAUUUUCUUAAAACUACACAUUGUAGUAGAUGGCAGAGAGAGGGUAACAGUUAGUCUUGUUUUAUUUUGAGCUGAGUGGUCCUGUAAGGUUGUAUCAGGUUACGAGGAAGAUAAAUGCCUCUUGGGAACCUUGCAACAAUCCAGGCCUAGCCAGUCUUUAAGGCUGAUUUUAUCCAAAGCAGACAAAUUCUUGAUCUGAUUUGAGGUGGUGUCACGAAGCUCCUGGAGAAGGAAAUGGCAACCCACUCCAGUGUUCUUGCCUGGAGAAUCCUGGGGACAGGAGAGCCUGGUGGGCUGCCAUCUAUGGGGUCGCACAGAGUCAGACACGACUGAAGUGACUUAGCAGCAGCAGCAGCAGCAGGAAGCUCCAGUAUUACAUGCAUGAAGUUCAGUCAUUAUAACCAUUCUUUCAUUUGAUGGGUUGUUCCCAGUUACAGUUAAAAUAUCUUUGUGUGUAUAAUUCUUUGAGCAUUUAUUUACCCCUAAGUGUAAAUUAAUUUUUUGAAUAUUAUUAAACAUAGCAGCUAAUUGAGAGCUGAUUUAUUCCCUUCAUGUAUUUAUUCUAUCAACAUGCAUUUAAUCUGGUCUGAGGACAAGAUACUGUGUGAGUUGAAAGAGGAGGAAGACCUGUCUUCCUCCCUAACUGAGCUUAAAACGCUACCAUAAGAUACCAAAUAGUAAGCCUUAAGAAUAACACAAAUAGAAAAAAAAAAUCGAUUGAGAGCAGGAAUUAAGGAUAAACAGCUGGGGAAUUCAGAAUGCAUGCUGAAAGGCAAUAGGAAGGUUAAGCAUUUGUGAAAGAUGGUGAAGAUCUCAAGUGGAGAUGAUCACGAUGCAGGGGGUGCCAAGUGAAGAGAAGCGAGGAAGGCAUUCCUGGGGAGGGAAAGCUAUAAGCAAAGGUGCUGGGGGUGGGAAACUGCCACAUUUGGCUAGAGAUUUCAAGUCAUUCAGUUUGACUUAAAGGAAAGGUGCCUGUGAAAGGAUCAGUUCAGUUCAGUUGCUCAGUCCUGUCUGACUCUUUGGGACCCCAUGAAUCACAGCACACCACGCCUCCCUGUCCAUCACAAACUCCCGG